RNAcentral lists this ribosomal RNA (245 nucleotides) under uncultured bacterium. Its description in RNAcentral is "partial small subunit ribosomal RNA". It matches the Rfam family "Bacterial small subunit ribosomal RNA", at positions 26 to 285 of the family's 1533-position model. The record is from RNAcentral.
AGAAUCAACGCUGGCGCCGUGCCUAACACAUGCAAGUCGCACGAGAAAGGGACUUCGGUCCUGAGUACAGUGGCGCACGGGUGAGUAACACGUGAAUAAUCUACCUCCGAGUGGGGAAUAACUGAGAGAAAUCUUAGCUAAUACCGCAUAACACUUACGAGUCAAAGCAGCAAUGCGCUUGGAGAGGAGUUCGCGGCAGAUUAGUUAGUUGGCGGGGUAAUGGCCCACCAAGACGAUGAUCUGUA